This 258-nucleotide long non-coding RNA is filed under the name Serinus canaria (Common canary). RNAcentral's name for it is "lncRNA (ENSSCAG00000011584.1)". Lineage: Eukaryota; Metazoa; Chordata; Aves; Passeriformes; Fringillidae. The record is from RNAcentral.
CAGACACACACUGGGAGGGACAAGGCCCUCAACUGGUGCUGCAGCUCAGGUAGAAGGAAGGCAGGCAGCAGAUAGUCUGAGAAUCAUACCACCUGUUGCCUGCCUGAACCAAGAACCAGAUCCCAGAGAAGGACUGUGCCAUAUUAGUUGGUUGCAGAUCUGCUAGGAUCCUAACGUUGAGAGAGAUCUAACAGGUGCUCCCUGCCUGACUAUCAGCACGGAUACGUAGUUUUCAUCUGUGGAGAAUUUUCUAACUUU